RNAcentral lists this ribosomal RNA (463 nucleotides) under uncultured bacterium. Its description in RNAcentral is "partial 16S ribosomal RNA". It matches the Rfam family "Bacterial small subunit ribosomal RNA", at positions 28 to 507 of the family's 1533-position model. The record is from RNAcentral.
GAUGAACGCUGACAGAAUGCUUAACACAUGCAAGUCUUUGGCGAAGCUGUGCUUGCACAGCCUAGCCAAGGCGGACGGGUGAGUAACGCGUAAGGAACUUGCCCGGCAGUCAGGGAUAACAGACGGAAACGACUGAUAAGACCUGGUAAAGUCAGGCGGACUCAUGUCCAGCCUGAUGAAAAGAGAUGCUGCAGGAGAGCCUUGCGUCCUAUUAGCUUGUUGGUGGGGUAACGGCCCACCAAGGCGAUGAUAGGUAGCCGGCCUGAGAGGGUGGACGGCCACAAGGGGAAUGAGAUGCGGCCCUUACUCCUACGGGAGGCAGCAGUGGAGAAUAUUGGACCAUGGGGGCGACCCUGAUCAAGGAAUUCUGUGUGCACGAUGAAGGUUUUCGGAUUGUAAAGUGCUUUCAGCAGGGAAGAAAAAAAUGACGUUACCUGCAGAAGAAGCGACGGCUAACUACGUG